RNAcentral lists this long non-coding RNA (375 nucleotides) under Pan troglodytes (chimpanzee). Its description in RNAcentral is "long non-coding RNA NONPTRT006706". Lineage: Eukaryota; Metazoa; Chordata; Mammalia; Primates; Hominidae. The record is from RNAcentral.
AGGGUCUUGCUCUGUCACCUAGGCUGGAGUGCAGUGGUGUGAUCACAGCUCACUGGAGCCUCGACCUCCUGGGAUCAAGCGAUUCUCUCACCUCAACCUUUGAACUUCUAGAUAAGUGGUUCUCAAAGUGUGGUCCUUCAACCAACAGCAUCAUCACCACCCAGGAACUUAUUAGAAAUGGAAGUUAUUGCACCCUGCCAAAACCAGAAACUGCGGAUGGGUCCCAGCAAUCUUUAUUUUAACGACUGUUAAAAUCAGAAUCAAGUGAUUCUGAUGCAAACUUAAGUUUGAAAACAUUGUUCUAUUAAAAGUAAUGGCAGAAACCGCAAUUACUUUUGCACCAACCUAAGAGCUCUGCACUGUUCAAUAUGGUAG